GAACGCGAAGAACCUUACCAGGGCUUGACAUUUAGGUGAAGCGGCGGAAACGUCGUGGCCGAAAGGAGCCUAAACAGGUGGUGCAUGGCUGUCGUCAGCUCGUGUCGUGAGAUGUUAGGUUAAGUCCUGCAACGAGCGCAACCCUCGUCGUAUGUUGCCAGCGGUUAGGCCGGGCACCCAUACGAGACCGCCGGCGUCAAGCCGGAGGAAGGUGGGGACGACGUCAAGUCAUCAUGCCCCUUAUGUCCUGGCUACACACGUGCUACAAUGGCCGGCACAAUGGGCUGCCAACCCGCGAGGGUGAGCGAAUCCCUAAAGCCGGUCCCAGUUCGGAUUGGAGGCUGCAACCCGCCUCCAUGAAGUCGGAGUUGCUAGUAAUCGCGGAUCAGCACGCCGCGGUGAAUGCGUUCCCGGGUCUUGUACACACC
RNAcentral lists this ribosomal RNA (428 nucleotides) under uncultured bacterium. RNAcentral's name for it is "bacterial SSU rRNA". It matches the Rfam family "Bacterial small subunit ribosomal RNA", at positions 957 to 1391 of the family's 1533-position model. The record is from RNAcentral.